This 251-nucleotide ribosomal RNA is filed under the name uncultured bacterium. RNAcentral describes it as "partial 16S ribosomal RNA". It matches the Rfam family "Bacterial small subunit ribosomal RNA", at positions 103 to 354 of the family's 1533-position model. The record is from RNAcentral.
CGGGUGAGUAACGCGUGGAUAACCUGCCUUACACUGGGGGAUAACACUUAGAAAUAGGUGCUAAUACCGCAUAAGCGCACAGAGCCGCAUGGCUCAGUGUGAAAAACUCCGGUGGUGUAAGAUGGAUCCGCGUCUGAUUAGCUGGUUGGCGGGGUAGAAGCCCACCAAGGCGACGAUCAGUAGCCGGCCUGAGACGGUGAACGGCCACAUUGGGACUGAGACACGGCCCAAACUCCUACGGAAGGCAGCAG